This 496-nucleotide ribosomal RNA is filed under the name uncultured bacterium. Its description in RNAcentral is "partial 16S ribosomal RNA". It matches the Rfam family "Bacterial small subunit ribosomal RNA", at positions 28 to 506 of the family's 1533-position model. The record is from RNAcentral.
GAUGAACGCUGGCGGCGUGCCUAAUACAUGCAAGUCGAGCGAACAGACGAGGAGCUUGCUCCUCUGACGUUAGCGGCGGACGGGUGAGUAACACGUGGAUAACCUACCUAUAAGACUGGGAUAACUUCGGGAAACCGGAGCUAAUACCGGAUAAUAUAUUGAACCGCAUGGUUCAAUAGUGAAAGACGGUUUUGCUGUCACUUAUAGAUGGAUCCGCGCCGCAUUAGCUAGUUGGUAAGGUAACGGCUUACCAAGGCAACGAUGCGUAGCCGACCUGAGAGGGGGAGCGGCCACACUGGAACUGAGACAGGGUCCAGACUCCUACGGAAGGCAGCAGUAGGGAAUUGUCCGCAAUGGGCGAAAACCUGACGGAGCAACGCCGGGGGAGUGAUGAAGGUUUUCGGAUCGAAAAACUCUGUUAUUAGGGAAAAACAAAUGGGAAAGUAAAUAUGCACGUCUUGACGGUACCUAAGCAGAAAGCAACGGCUAACUACGG